Molecule: ribosomal RNA, 459 nt
Filed under: uncultured bacterium
Lineage: Bacteria
Description: partial 16S ribosomal RNA
Rfam family: Bacterial small subunit ribosomal RNA
Source: RNAcentral
CCUACGGGAGGCAGCAGUGAGGAAUAUUGGUCAAUGGUCGGGAGACUGAACCAGCCAAGCCGCGUGAGGGAUGAAGGUACAGAGUAUCGUAAACCUCUUUUGUCAGGGAACAAAGGCGGGGACGUGUCCCCGGAUGAGUGUACCUGAAGACACAGCAUCGGCUAACUCCGUGCCAGCAGCCGCGGUAAUACGGAGGAUGCGAGCGUUAUCCGGAUUUAUUGGGUUUAAAGGGGGCGCAGGCGGGCUGUUAAGUCAGCGGUCAAAGCCCGGGGCUCAACCCCGGCCCGCCGUUGAAACUGGCAGUCGCGAGUUGGAGAGAAGUAUGCGGAAUGCGCGGUGUAGCGGUGAAAUGCAUAGAGAUCGCGCAGAACUCCGAUUGCGAAGGCAGCAUGCCGGCUCCACACUGACGCUGAGGCACGAAAGCGUGGGUAUCGAACAGGAUUAGAUACCCUAGUAGUC